This 59-nucleotide transfer RNA is filed under the name Aphanomyces invadans. It matches the Rfam family "tRNA", at positions 7 to 64 of the family's 71-position model. Rfam says of the family: Transfer RNA (tRNA) molecules are approximately 80 nucleotides in length. Lineage: Eukaryota; Oomycota; Saprolegniomycetes; Saprolegniales; Verrucalvaceae. The record is from Rfam by way of RNAcentral.
GUAGCUCAGUGGUAGAGCGUCCGAUUUGUAACCUCAAGGUCCUCGGUUCGAUUCCGGGC